Molecule: unclassified non-coding RNA, 2854 nt
Filed under: Hevea brasiliensis (rubber tree)
Lineage: Eukaryota; Viridiplantae; Streptophyta; Magnoliopsida; Malpighiales; Euphorbiaceae
Source: RNAcentral
GCUGAUCUUUAAUUUACUUUCUCCAUUUUACUAAAUUAUACCCUUACCCAACAUUCUGAAUAUUGAUGCAGACUUAAUAUUUAAAAAAGCUGAAUGACAAAAUAAUCCAUAUAACCGACCUUUAACUAAGUUGAAUUUCUACAGUUUUGGGAACCACUGAAAAUGGAGAUCUUACACUUCACUCACCAAUUUGCAAAUCAACCACUUGAAUUACAGAAAUACAUCAAAUAUGAUACAACAAUACAAUUAAUAGAAUGUUAUUUUCUAUGAUACAAGUCUUUCGUUCCAACAAUAUAUCCUUUGCUGCUUUCAGCAGAUGUUUCAUUUCCUGUGGAACAGAUUGUACCCUUUUUACAUUCACCUAUAUCCAAGCCUGUUACCUGAUAAAACUUGCGUACAAUGUUGCGGCUAAUGUAAGAAGAACUGUUCUACUCACACUCUGAAGUGUUGGUGCACUUGAAAACUUGAAUCUCUGAGCCUGGUCCCUGCGAAAAAAGAGUAAAAGGAAGGAAUUGUAACGGAGUAUUGACAAACCAAAGUUCAAACGGUAAUGCAUGAUUCCAUAUGUUGCAAAGUUUCAAGUACUUAGUAAGAUAUUCCAAAGAUUUGCAGAAAAUAAUUUAAGCAAUUGGAGGUAAAACUUCAGCCAGAAUCAAAAUAAAAAAUGUGGGCUUCGACUGAAAAUCAUCUUUAAGAGUACGUUAACAAGAGUGAUCUACAACAGUUCUGCUUCUGAAAUCUCACUUCUGUAAGGAUGAUAAUAGGCCACAAUAUAUGGCAUUAUCAGGCAAAGAAACCUCAGAUGUGUCGAUCUCUGGAUUUACAACACUCAUAUAAACCUCCUGGCCCAGAUACCAUGAGUUGAGAUUUUCUGCUCGGAGAUUCCAAAUGCCAGCAUUGUCAAGAGAAACUAAGAUGGCAGUCCAAGCUCCAGGAAAGACCUGUAAUCAAAGGAGAAUAAGAAGUUAUUAUAAAACUGAUGGGGCUAAAUUCCUUUCUGUGUGAAUCAUAAUGCAUUUCCUGUAACUGUCUUCAUACCCAUAGCAAAUAAUAGCAAGGGCAGUAAUAGGAAAAGCCAGUGCACCGAAAUUUGUUUGAAUCCUUUCCCUCUCACUUCCACAAAUCUGUAUAGUGCAGCGAGCAACACCAUCCCAUUUGUUGUAUGUCCCUCUGCUAUUCUCUGUCCACACUCCAAAGUCCAUACCCACAACAAAAAAUGCAUAUCCAUCCAUAUGGUAGCUCUGGACAGUGGUAUCAUUAUUCUGAAAGAUUAUUUCCAUAAAACCUUUGAAAGUGCCAUUAAUUAGAGAUGUAUCAAAUUUUGGAGGUCUGUUCAUUGGUCUAUUUGGGAAGUCAAGCUUGUAGACACCUGAAAUGUUGUAUUUCUGAGCAAGCAUCAGGGGUGUGGGAGGUGGUAAGUAUGAAAUGCCAUUAAGGGUAGUACGCCACUUCCCAUCAAUAAGCUCAGCAGGUCUAUUGAGAAUCACAUAUACAUCUGUCACAGUAAUAUCACCAUAUUUGAAAGACCCCUGUGGAUUUGGACGAGCAGCACCAGCUGAGACAUUCCAUCUUAUGGAUCUUGCUUGAUUCAUUGAGAAAUAUGUAUCUUGUUCAUUAGGAGGGUCAGGAAGAGACCCUGAAGCAGGUCCCUGAGAAUUGGAAUAGUGCAAGAUAGCAACUCCAGCAGCUUUAGUCCAAGCAGAUGAAUUUACAUAUCUGGGACUGGCAACAAUAUAGUAAUCACUGCUAGCAUUUUGAUCCAUUGUAACCAAGAAUGAAUAUGACUGACCCACAUGAAUGUCCAUGUUUUCAUAGUUUUGCUGAACAGUGUAUGAUCCUUCAGUCUCUACAAGAAGCAAGUUAUGAUUUUGUAUUCUGAAAUUCAAGCUGGUUGAGAUACCAACAUUGUGCACCCGGAGACGAUAUGUCUUUCCAGGUUCAACAUUUAUUAUCUGAUAAGUAAUGCCUUCUUGGACAAGUGCCUCAUCAUAUCUGUAAGGACCAAACCCAUUAAUGAGGAUACCAUCAGGAACUCCUACGUCAUCUCCCUUUUCAACAUGUUUCCUUAGUUCCUUAUGACUCUUUGUAUGCCAGUCACUGAUAAAAAGAGUAAUAUCUCCGUCAGGCACAGCAAAUGGUAAAGGAAUGACGUCCCUAUUGUUUAUGAUAAUUCCUCCAUAUCCACCUGCUGCUCUCUGGAAGUUGAGGGAAGGGAAGUAAAAGAAACUUCCUAUCUGAUCUUUGACCUGAAACUGAUACGUCCAAUUCCAACCAGCAGGAAUCGGACAAUUAGUUCCCAAAACACCAUCUUGCCAGGAGUUUUUCCUAUUCUGUACGCCAUUCCAUGUAAUAAGCAGUGGCUCAUCAAGUUCAUUCUUGACAUUGACAAUCACGUUCCAAUUUGUAGUGACAUUAAGAAUAGGUCCAGGAAAUAGCCCAUUAAUACCAAUCACCUGCUGCUUAACUCCCAGAGAAUAUCCAGUAAGGUAAGAGACUGUCCAAUCAAAAAAGACAUAAGGGUCAUCUGCCAAAGAACCAGUAACCAGACACCCAACUAAGAGGAAGAAGAAGGAGACGCAUGAGAAAACAGAGGGCAUUGGAUCCCUUAUCUCUCCCUUAUCUUUCCCUUGUUUUCUAGAGAAAGAGGAAAGAAGUGAGAGUGGGAAAAUAAAAUCCAAUAAAGCCACAUGGGAUUCUGAAGAAGGCCAUGUUUGCAGACAGCUAGAAGGCUUCUGCAGCUGCCAGUUCCAGGGAGGGCCCCCCAAGUUUUCAGAAAUUUUUAGAAAACUGGAGCCGCAUUUCAGCCCCAGUCCCACCGCUUCUUCUUUCUAUUGUUAUUUGUUCACUAUGCUUG